Molecule: antisense RNA, 156 nt
Filed under: Rosa chinensis
Lineage: Eukaryota; Viridiplantae; Streptophyta; Magnoliopsida; Rosales; Rosaceae
Description: sRNA RchiOBHm_Chr1g0380841
Rfam family: Antisense RNA which regulates isiA expression
Source: RNAcentral
AAUAACCAAAUACAAUACUUGGUCUAAGAGUCAGGUUGGUAAUUUUUCUUUCAUCUCAUCCACCCGGAGCCCAUUGUACACCCCUAAAAUAAAGAGCCUUGAAUACUAGAAGAAAAGCACUUAUUUAUGCCUAACAAGAUUGAGAACAUCUUUCAA